Molecule: ribosomal RNA, 473 nt
Filed under: uncultured bacterium
Lineage: Bacteria
Description: bacterial SSU rRNA
Rfam family: Bacterial small subunit ribosomal RNA
Source: RNAcentral
GAUGAACGCUAGCGGCAGGCUUAACACAUGCAAGUCGAGGGGCAUCGAGAGUAGCAAUACUUGUCGGCGACCGGCGCAAGGGUGCGUAACACGUGAGCAACAUACCCGUUUCAGGAGGAUAACCGGAGGAAACUCUGCCUAAUACUCCAUGACAUCAUCAAACGGCAUCGUUUGAUGAUUAAAGAUUUAUCGGAAACGGCUUGGCUCGCGGGACAUUAGCUCGUUGGUGAGGUAACGGCUCACCAAGGCGACGAUGUCUAGGGGUUCUGAGAGGAAGGUCCCCCACACUGGAACUGAGACACGGUCCAGACUCCUACGGGAGGCAGCAGUGAGGAAUAUUGGACAAUGGUCGGAAGACUGAUCCAGCCAUGCCGCGUGAAGGUUACUGUCCUAUGGAUAUUAAACUUCUUUUGUAUGAGAGCAAUAAGGUGCACGUGUGCACCGAUGAGAGUAUCAUACGAAUAAGCAUCGGA